Non-coding RNA from Phrynosoma platyrhinos (Desert horned lizard), 69 nucleotides. The record is from the annotation of a GenBank genome assembly. NCBI's taxonomy places the organism in Eukaryota, Metazoa, Chordata, Lepidosauria, Squamata, Phrynosomatidae.
GCCCUAGUGGCACAGUGGUUAAAUGCCUGUAUAGACCACAAGGUUGCGAGUUCAAUACUAGCCAGGGCU